Long non-coding RNA from Homo sapiens (human), 219 nucleotides. RefSeq lists it as uncharacterized. Lineage: Eukaryota; Metazoa; Chordata; Mammalia; Primates; Hominidae. The transcript has 3 exons. The record is from RefSeq and is a predicted model, not a curated record.
UCAGUUUUCCAAACCAGAGAAGAGUCUCAAAGUGUCUUCUGCAAAUGGCACCAAUCUCAGGUGUUACUCAUGCCUUUCUGAGAAAAUGUCUUGAAUAUUUCAUCAAAUGUGAGGGGAAAAAUCCAUAAAUAUGUAACUUCGACCCAUGUGAUGACAAGCCUUUGGCUAGUGCUGUUGCCAGCCAUGCUUUGCAGUCACUGACACAAACAGCGGGGGACG